CCUCAACCACUCUCUGUCGGUGUCCCCCAAGGUUCUGUCCUUGGUCCCCUACUGUUCUCUAUCUAUACUGCCUCCCUUGGUAAACUCAUCAGCUCCUUUGCCUUCCGUUAUCAUUUCUAUGCGGAUGACACGCUAAUCUACCUGAUCUCUCUCCACCCAUCUUGACUCAUGUCUCUGACUGCCUCUCUUCGAUUUCCAACUGGAUGGCUGCUUACUUCCUU
This is a non-coding RNA of Pelobates cultripes (western spadefoot toad), 221 nucleotides long. The record is from the annotation of a GenBank genome assembly. Lineage: Eukaryota; Metazoa; Chordata; Amphibia; Anura; Pelobatidae.